Long non-coding RNA from Cavia porcellus (domestic guinea pig), 6886 nucleotides. RefSeq lists it as uncharacterized. The record is from RefSeq and is a predicted model, not a curated record. NCBI's taxonomy places the organism in Eukaryota, Metazoa, Chordata, Mammalia, Rodentia, Caviidae. The transcript has 4 exons.
GCAAAACAAUAACCAAAAAUAUAAUGAAAUGAUUAGUAUGAUAUGCUGUAAUAAAAGUUGUUUUCAAUGUAUUAUUUACUUAUCUAUUUUUUCAUUUAAUAUUUUCAGGCUAACAUUGACUGUAGAUAGCUAAAACUACACAAAGCAAAACUUUCAGAUAAAACAAGACCUUUCAGAAUUACUUGUAAUGAAAGUAUUUGUCAAUCACUGUAUUUUUUUUAAGCCUAACACAAGGUCCCUACAAUGAAAUCAAUAAACAUUCUCUGAAUUCAAGAAAAAUGAGUGAAAGAAUAAUUUGUAUGUAUGUAAGGCAGUGUAAGUCACAGGAGUUGGAUGACUACAAAAUUUGUUAGAGACAAAAAUCUGAAUAUAAAUUGUUUUAAAGAUAAAUUUUAUUUUGUAGAGUUAUCUCUUGUAACAGGAUUCUCCUACAUUAGGAUUUGCUGGGAUAUUUUAUUUUUUAGAAAAUGAAGAUUGCUGGGUCUUUUGGGUUUGAGGCAAGGAAUCAACAGCUUUUCUAAUCUAAGGGAAAUACUGCUAAAAGCUAUGCCCGGUCCUUAAAAUCUUUUUAAACUUCUUUGGAGUGCUCGGUAUCUUGGAGGAUCUGUCAAAAGCUGUAAAUGUUCUUAGGCAAUUGUACACACAUGAUCAGUUUUGCUAAAAAUUCCAGGAAAAUCACAAACCCUUGUGACUGACUCAUUGUCUCAGGUCACUGUCAACUAACUUACAGAAAGACAGUAAGAAUCAUUGUUACUAAGACAUAGCCAGAAAGACUAAGUGAACUGAACAAUGUAGUUUCUUCUAGGCAACUUUGUCUAGAAUCUACCCAGUCUUACCCUGUCAAUGUUUACUACAAAAAAGACAUCUUCCAUUUGAAAGAAUUUAUGUUGUGGUCCAAGAUUUAAUGGAAAACUGAAAUGUUUCAAAAGGAAGGAAAUGUUUCUUGAAUAUUUAGGAAUCAAUACUUUAUUUCAUCCUGUCUCAAAUAACAGAUGAAGUUGAUGGUGUUCUAGAAAAUUUAUGAGUUAACUGUUUAUCUGUUUAUAUACCUAAUAUUUCACAAAGUUAGAUUACAUCUAAAAAUCUUGGUAUCUUUCUGAUAAUCUAGCAUUUACAAAAGACAAAAUGGUUCCAUUCUCACUAAAAUUGAGAGCCUUGUCUGCAAAAAGCAACUAAAAUGGUCUAUUGCCGGAGAUAUGUCACAUGGAACAAGAUAAAGCCUAUAAAAACAGUCCUUCAGGAAAGUCAUGGCUGAACUCUAAGGACCUAGAUUAUUUAAUGCAAACAUUGUGUGUGACUUUGGAGAUUGGGGUAGGCUUCCCUAUAGUCAUUUAAGCAAGCUUGUUUAUGCAAAACCAAUGUAGAAACAGAGUUCAAAACUACAAUUUGCUUUCUUUGUACCUAGGGCAGAAUCACUGAACUUCAUCCAAAAUUGGAGCAGAGUCAGAAUCUGACUCUGUGGUGAGGGAGGGAGUACUUAACUCUGAGUGACAGAGUAUGCUGCAGUACAUGGAAAUGCUUUAUGAACUGCGGAGCAUUACACAGUAAAGGAGCUCACAGCAUAGUUCACAGCGCGUAAUAGUGUUCUGUAAGCUUGUAAUCACUAUUAACAAACAGUGGCAUAGGAUAACUCUCAGUUUACAUCUUGUUCUUUUGGUGAAUAUUCCUUUGGAAGUUAGUUGGUAAAUACUGCCCCUAUUUCUUUCAUGUGUAUGAAAAUUUAAUGUUAUAUGAGUGAACUACAACUUUGUUUUUCAUUUUUCUAAAGGAAGGCAUAUAGAUUAUUUUCAAUUGUUUGUUAUGACCAACUUUUCAACAAACAUUCUUUGCAUAUCUCCUUGUGCACAGGUGGCCAGAUUUCUGUAGGGUUUGUAUUAGAAAUGGAUUUGCUGAGAAAUAGCACAUUUUGCUAAACUAAUGUCAAUUUUUUUCAAAUUAGGCACAGUUAUGUAAGAGUUGCAUUUGCAUUACUUUGCUGGUUAGUGUCAGAUUUAGAGAUAUAUUUUUUAAAAAUUUUCUUAUUAUUGAUAAAGUUUUGCAUGUCCCUACUAUACAUUGUCUCUAGAGGCGUAUUCUCCCUGAAUUUCUUGUUAAUACCCUAUUCCCAUAUUUAUAGAUGCCAAGUGCUAAUCUUGGGAUCUGUAGGUUUAUAGAAAUAAACAAAACAAAGCACUGCCCUCAUGAAACUUAUUUGGUAGCAAGAGACAAAUUUAACAAACAGGUAAUUUUUGUAGUAUGCAAAAGACUAACAUCUGCUGUAUAAAGACAAAGUACAAUGUAUGGGGUAGGCAGCAGAAGUCAUAUAGGUAUAUAGCUCAAGGUAGAGUCAAGACGAUGAGGAGCUUCAGAACGAGAAAAGCCCCUGGGCUGGGGUUGGAGAGACAGAAAGAAGAGAUGCAGAGAUGAAGCCAGGAAAGUGGAUACUCCAGAUACUCUAUUCUUGCAUACAUUUGCAUAUUUUUCCCCUUCACAUGAUGGUAAGACACAUAGUUCAGUCUCUAAAUGAGUUCUAUCCAUUUGGAAAUUAAAGCAGCAAUUUAAAUAUUUAAAUUCUGAAUUGUUCAAAGGCAGUCUUCAUCAAGGGAUGACUGAUAGUUUUUCUCUAGCCAUUCAAAAGUGAAAUACUAUGUGUAUUUUUCCUUAGCUGGGAAGUUUAUCUUAUUACAUAUUGCCUUAGGUACAGUUUAUUUUAAACAAAGUUCAAACAAACAUAUUAGGACAAACUAUUUCAGUGCUGGAUUAUAAUAAAUUGGUAGGCAUAUUAUCAUUUGCUAUAAAAAAUGUCCACACCUGAAACAGGGCACCUUGGCCUGAGGGUGAACCCGACUCCCCAGGCCUUGUGCAGUGACGCAGGUCAUCCUGAGUCCGGACAGAGUUCCCUUCCAGCUUUGUCCUCACAGGAUGGUGCGGGGUCCCCCGCAGUUGCAAUUACCAAAGAAUAAGGACUGACGAAGUAUGUAUGUGGGAUGCGUGUGGGUAACUGCAUCCAACUGGAAUAACCAUUUUCUUAUCGAUCAUUUUAUAACAACGAGAGCAAAAAGGCAAAGAAAAACAUGCAAAACAUGCAAAACAAACUGCUUUAAAAUGACGUCUGUAAAGCUCUGUAAAGUCCACCUCUAUAGUUUCAUUUAUUAGAGAAUUAAAUCAGAAAAUAAAAACAGUGCCCUAGCACAUUUCCCCUCAGAGGAACACAGCCUAACAGAAACAGCAAUUUUCAGUACUUGUGUAGAAAAAUGUUUACCUCUCCAAGAAAAUGUCCUCAAUUUCCUAGGCUAACUUCACUUCCCCUUCUAGCACAUGAAGUUUAACUGGAAAUAUUAGUGUUUUCUUUCCAUUUAAUAAUAUUUCUGCAUAAAAUUUAAAAGGAGGGUUGCAAAGGAAGUUCGUCUGGUUGGUUCUCUUUGGCAUGGGCGAAAACGGCCAUCAGCUCGCGCGAGGCGUUAAAGGGUUAACUCCAGAGUUCCAAGCCGCCCCGCCCCACCAGGGCCCCCCGAAGGCGCCUGCUGAACAUGUGCUCUCCUGAAGCGAACCCUGAAACUGAAUCCCUGAACACGCUCAGCCUUUGGUGCCAGACUUGUACUGUGACUUUCAAACUUCUGCCAUGGCCGUUGCAAUGUAAAUAGGAAAUUCUAAUGCGAUUUGGAUCGCCCUUUGGGGACUUUCACGCUGAAAGACGGCGCGUUUCCAGGGCAGCCCGGAGUGCGCGCGGAGCAGCGACCUCUGCAGCCGCAGCAGCAGCAGCCGGCUGCAGACAGGCCGGGACUCUGCAGGCCUUCCCCGGACCAGGGCCUUGGCGGGGACACAGCCAUGUGUAGUUCUGAAAUAUGUCCUCUUGUUAGCGAUGUUUUAGAUUAAACCAUGAACGUGACUCAGUUCCGAGGUGACCGCCUGCACGAUCCUGCUGUGGAGGGCGGCUUAAGCAACAGGCCUUUGCGACCUUUAGAAGCCAGCAUUUCAGGUCACCGCAGCAUCUCGUGCUCUCCUAGCAAACGUGCUCUCCUAGCAAACAGACGUCCUUGGGCUUUCCCCAUGAAAAGUCAUCCAGUACACAGAAAACCGAGACCGGCAAAAUGCAGAAAUAAGCGGCUGUGCAAAUGCAUUCUCACAUCGCUCACUAGGGGGCAACAGUUCCCGCCUUUAUUGUGAGUGGACCAAGUCUCAAAACACCACAAAAGUAAACGCUGUGAUCCCUCAAACUCUUUGUUUUAUAGUAUGUAUAUCACAAAUAUACGGUAAUAAGAAUAAAUUUUUAAAUAAAUUUCAAAGUGUGUAGACUAAAAGGAAACUUCUGUGGGUUUCUCCUUUCGGCCCACCUUCCACCUUUCUCAUUUCACCGUUAAGCUCCGCACAUUUUAUACACGUGUGACUUAACUAAACAUUUCCUUUAUGUUUUAUUUGUGUGUACAUUAAGCUAUAUGCCACAGAUACGUUUCCAGUCUACACAUGCCCCUUUUUCCUCAGGUUGUAAAGUAUCUUGUUUACUGUCUCUAAAAUGAUUUAAUAAACCCCCAUAAGUGAUGCUUAGAUCAUUUUCAGCAUUUUGAACAAUGCUGUAGUGAAUAAUUGUUUCUUUCUUUACGCUUUUAUCUGCAGGUUAAAAUCCCCAGAUACGUAAUUGCCAGGCUCAUUUAAAAAUAUAAUCACCAUUGCAAAUUAUCUGUCCCCAACAGAAAAGAUGCCACCAAUUUACACAAACACCGGCUGCAGGUGAGACAUCAACCAUGAUGCUCUGUAUGUCAAACCUUGCAACAAUCCCAAUCUAUCAAAAAAUAAUAUUAUGAUAGCGGUUUUUAAAACUUCUGGGACUAUACUGACUUCCACUAAUGAAUUAACUAAUUCAGUUUAAUAUUUUUAAGCUCGUAAAAAUUUGUUUUGCAGCACAAAUAUCAGAAAAGACAUUUGUCAAACUGACCUAGCUUCCAUGAACAAUAAAAAGUUUUGUAUCUAAAUAAAUACUUCUUCCCCCACAAUACCUUUAUAUAUUUAAAAAAAGUUUGAUUAUUUUGAAAACACUAAAAAAUCUGCAUAGACAUUAUUAUUUCUAUCAUACAGAUGAGACCAAAAUCCUUGUACAAUUUUCUUUUUUAUUGUUAUUAUGACGUGAUAUUAAUUUUUAAAAUUUCAGAACAGAAUCUUCAAGUUUCUAAAUUUUAUUUAUCAUUCUAAGCCUGUUUCUUUUUGGAGAUAAUCACAAUUUUCCUGUUCUUUUUUUUCCAUGCUAAACUAUAGCACCCACACUUUCCUCUCUGAUUUUAGCAAAAAAAAACAAGAUGCCUAGAAAUGAAAUGUCAAGAAUAUUUCCCAUUUUUAUUGCUGAGUUAAAUACUUAAACUAGCAGGUUGAAAAUAAUUAUAAUAAAAGUUGGUUACUUCUUUUGUCCAUUUUCUUUUGAGGAAGAGAUGACUACUUUGUGUGUGUGUGGUAGGCAGGUAUUUCCCGAAUGACUGACAAGCACUCCACCAAAGGGCACCAGUCCACUUUAGAACACGGCCAAGCAGGCAGUCGCCUGGCAGGUCGCCGCUUCUUCCUCGCACCACCCACGUUUGGUUUUGCCCCAGCAAUUUCCCCAGGAAGGGAAAUACCCUGAACUUCUGUUGGUUGAACUAACAGGUGCAGUGAGUGCGCGUAACACAGGAAAUUUUAAAGAAAGCGUCUCUCCUGGGGAUACUUUAGGGAACGAUGCGCAGAUGCGUUUUCAAGCGCAGAAUACUUCAUGGGUGAUUUCUACGCUAACGAACUUGGACCAGCUUUCGCUUGGUGUAAGAGCAAAACCACGAAUAAUAAGGUGCAGUUCGGUAUAGUAAAGUAUCCCUGUUUCUUUUAAUAUAAUGGCUUAUUUAUUUUUCUGCGGACAAACUGUCAUUUUGUUUCGUGACCGCCCAUACAAUCAAGCUUUAGGAGAAAAUGCUUUAAACGUGUUGUAGCAGUGUUUUGGGCAGCUUCGUUCAUCUCUGGCAGGUGCUAACUGGGAAAAGCAACCCUUCUCCGUGUCCUCUACCACAAAAGGCUCAACUUAAUCUUCCAAGGAAAACCCAUUGCACUUUACAGUUCCUGAGAUGCCAAGCAUUCAUUUCUUUGCGGUGUUGAAGAAAAAUGAAUCACCAUUUGGAUUUUAAGACUGGCCUAGAGAACCAGAAACAUUGUUUCAAGAAACAAUCAAAUCAGCAGCUGACAUCAUAGGUCUUCCUGAAAGAGAGGAAAGAGAUGCAGAGCAAAGAUAAGACCCAAAAAAUGACUAAAUGCUGGAGACCUGGUAAUCAUAGCUCUGACCAAAGCAAUCUGCAGCUCCUUGAACUUGGAGAGAGACCCAGUCAUUCUGAUGCCUGACUCCCAUAUAUUUACUCUCUGAAUGAGGUACAAAGAUCCGGGUGAGCUAAUGCAUCAAGCCAUGAAAAAUGAACAAUUAAAACAAUGAAGUUGUCAGUUCUUUUACCAGAUUGCAAAUAAAUAACCUUCCUGUCAGGCUGGCUGUUCUGCUGGAUCAUUAGUUUAAUACAAAGACAUUCUGAGGAGGGAUGGAUGACAGCUGAUCUAUGACUCCAGUGGGUCCAGGGUUUUUGAUGAAGACCUGAGCAAAAGAUGUUGCCAUAAACCGUGAAAGGUCAGUCCCAAUUUGUGAAAAGUACAAUGUUAGACAAAAUUUAAAUACACCUCUUUGCCAACUAGGAAAGCUGUACUUUUAAAAAACUUAAUUAUUGUGUGUGAUGGGGGAUGCUUCUUUUAACAAUCCCAAACACUUUUCUUUCUGCUUCUGCUUAUUUGGCCUGUCAGGAACACUUGUGCUAGUGUAGAUGCCCGUGGAGUCUGUAAGUACCACCAAGAAGGGACUGAGUCUUGGGACUGUACAAUAAUCUUCUUGCCAGGCCAGACAGAGUCAUCCUGAAAA